GACGAACCGUGCGAACGUUGUUCGGAAUCACUGGGCUUAAAGGGCGCGUAGGCGGGCUCGCCAGUCUGUGGUGAAAGCCCCCAGCUUAACUGGGGAAGUGCCAUGGAUACUGCGAGUCUUGAGGAGGGUAGGGGCAUCUGGAACACUGGGUGGAGCGGUGAAAUGCGUUGAUAUCCAGUGGAACUCCGGUGGCGAAGGCGAGGUGCUGGACCCUUUCUGACGCUGAGGCGCGAAAGCCAGGGGAGCAAACGGG
Molecule: ribosomal RNA, 253 nt
Filed under: uncultured bacterium
Lineage: Bacteria
Description: partial 16S ribosomal RNA
Rfam family: Bacterial small subunit ribosomal RNA
Source: RNAcentral